Molecule: ribosomal RNA, 497 nt
Filed under: uncultured bacterium
Lineage: Bacteria
Description: partial 16S ribosomal RNA
Rfam family: Bacterial small subunit ribosomal RNA
Source: RNAcentral
GACGAACGCUGGCGGCGUGCCUAAUACAUGCAAGUUGAGCGCUGAAGGUUGGUACUUGUACCAACUGGAUGAGCAGCGAACGGGUGAGUAACGCGUGGGGAAUCUGCCUUUGAGCGGGGGACAACAUUUGGAAACGAAUGCUAAUACCGCAUAAAAACUUUAAACACAAGUUUUAAGUUUGAAAGAUGCAAUUGCAUCACUCAAAGAUGAUCCCGCGUUGUAUUAGCUAGGUGGUGAGGUAAAGGCUCACCAAGGCGAUGAUACAUAGCCGACCUGAGAGGGUGGUCGGCCACAUUGGGACUGAGACACGGCCCAAACUCCUACGGGAGGCAGCAGUAGGGAAUCUUCGGCAAUGGACGAAAGUCUGACCGAGCAACGCCGCGUGAGUGAAGAAGGUUUUCGGAUCGUAAAACUCUGUUGGUAGAGAAGAACGUUGGUGAGAGUGGAAAGCUCAUCAAGUGACGGUAACUACCCAGAAAGGGACGGCUAACUACGUG